GAUGAACGCUGGCGGCGUGCUUAACACAUGCGAGUCGAACGGUGAAGCAGGAGCUUGCUCUUGUGGAUCAGUGGCGAACGGGUGAGUAACACGUGAGCAACCUGCCCCUGACUCUGGGAUAAGCGCUGGAAACGGCGUCUAAUACUGGAUAUGUGAUGUGACCGCAUGGUCUGCAUCUGGAAAGAAUUUCGGUUGGGGAUGGGCUCGCGGCCUAUCAACUUGUUGGUGAGGUAAUGGCUCACCAAGGCGUCGACGGGUAGCCGGCCUGAGAGGGUGACCGGCCACACUGGGACCGGGACACGGCCCAGACUCCUACGGGAGGCAGCAGUGGGGAAUAUUGCACAAUGGGCGGAAGCCUGAUGCAGCAACGCCGCGUGAGGGAUGACGGCCUUCGGGUUGUAAACCUCUUUUAGCAGGGAAGAAGCGAAAGUGACGGUACCUGCAGAAAAAGCACCGGCUAACUACGUGCCAGCCGCCGCCGUAA
Molecule: ribosomal RNA, 484 nt
Filed under: uncultured bacterium
Lineage: Bacteria
Description: partial 16S ribosomal RNA
Rfam family: Bacterial small subunit ribosomal RNA
Source: RNAcentral